UAAAUAUAACCAUGAGACCGAUAGUAAACAAGUACCGUGAGGGAAAGUUGAAAAGAACUCUGAAUAGAGAGUUAAAUAGUACGUGAAACUGCUUAGAGGUUAAGCCCGAUGAACCUGAAUAUCCAAUAUAGAAAAUUCAUCAUUAUGAUUUAAAUAUUUGCAAUAUUUUAAUAAUGGUGUGCAUUUUUUCUAUAGAGGACAUUGUAAUCUAUUAACAUAAAAUUUAUCAUAAGAUCAAUUUGCGUAAGUUUAUUCAAAUUAUUUUGCUUGCAAUUUAACAUAGAAUAAAUGCUUUUGAUUUGAUAAAGUGUUGAUAGAUUUAUUAUAUAUAGUGCUUAAAUAUUUAUAUUUUAUAGUAGCAUAUUAAUUUUUAAUUUUUGUGUUUACUAUAUGCACUUAUAUGAUUAACAAUGCGAAAGANUCAGGAUACCUUCGGGACCCGUC
RNAcentral lists this ribosomal RNA (444 nucleotides) under Hemisturmia sp. tenuipalpisDHJ03. Its description in RNAcentral is "eukaryotic LSU rRNA". The stretch from base 1 to 92 matches the Rfam family "Bacterial large subunit ribosomal RNA", at positions 467 to 559 of the family's 2925-position model. The record is from RNAcentral. Lineage: Eukaryota; Metazoa; Arthropoda; Insecta; Diptera; Tachinidae.